This 253-nucleotide ribosomal RNA is filed under the name uncultured bacterium. RNAcentral describes it as "partial 16S ribosomal RNA". It matches the Rfam family "Bacterial small subunit ribosomal RNA", at positions 524 to 776 of the family's 1533-position model. The record is from RNAcentral.
UACGGAGGGUGCAAGCGUUAUCCGGAUUCACUGGGUUUAAAGGGUGCGUAGGUGGGUCUGUAAGUCCGUGGUGAAAUCUCCGAGCUUAACUUGGAAACUGCCAUGGAUACUAUAGGUCUUGAAUGCCGUGGAGGUCAGCGGAAUAUGUCAUGUAGCGGUGAAAUGCUUAGAUAUGACAUAGAACACCAAUUGCGAAGGCAGCUGGCUACACGAAUAUUGACACUGAGGCACGAAAGCGUGGGGAGCAAACAGG